Molecule: long non-coding RNA, 1673 nt
Organism: Hyla sarda
Lineage: Eukaryota; Metazoa; Chordata; Amphibia; Anura; Hylidae
Exons: 4
Source: RefSeq, a predicted model, not a curated record
GACAUUGUUACGGUUGGGGUUUAGCUGAGUGGCAGUGUUACAUGUUGACCUCCAGAAGCAGGGAGAAGACCAGGGCAGAAAAACAGGAUGGUGAUUCCAGCAGUACCAGGGUAGCGGCAGUAGCAGCCACUAGAACCAGAACUAUUUCGGCUUUUCAUCAAUUAUACGGCACAGCGUGAGAGGAUCUGAAGAAAGUUCCAUUUACUGUUUUGUACUUGUUGGAGAAAAUUGUCCUUUUGCAACACAUUUUUGCAGUGAAAUAAAUUGGUGCCAUUUUGACUGUGUGGUCGGUGCAGGUACUGCUUGUGCACCAUGUCACCUGCCGAGGCAGGCCUCCUCUGGGCAGUUCCUGCAAGGACAAUGUGCCACAUGAACCAGGAAGAUGCGGUGAGCUGCAGGGACCAUAAGCCAUUGGAAUUACUGCCAUAGGGGAUCAGGGCAGCUAAAAGUGAAGUCAAAGGAAUUACGCAGACAGCCUGUCUUUAGCAAAACAGACAAAGAAAUGGACAAGGCAGCAAAAAGUACAGUAGAAGACGGCAGGAAGAGACGAUAUCGACUGUAAACGUUUGUCAAUUAAAACAAGCUUCAUGAGGGCCUGAACAUCGGCUCAUUUUUAUGGUCCUACUGUAUAUAGGAUUGAUUUACUAGAACUUUACAACCAAUUCAUUUACUGGACUAAAAUUACAUACAAGUUCUAGCUAAGGUCUAUUGUUUUAUCAAUAGGAUGUUAAAUGCAAUGAGCUGGACACAAGGCGAAUGCAAUUACUGAGGGUCUAUUGUAAAACAGUAAUUAGGUUAUUUGAGGUCUACAGUAUGUUUCACUAACAUCACUAAUAGGAAGGUUGGGGUGCUCCUUACUGGCAACAACCCCUUCCAACAACCCCCUUCCCACCAGAUGUAACUAUUACCAAGAACUGUUAACUCAAACACUAAAGUUAAUAUUUUGAUAGGUAUUUUUCAUCAAUGUUUGUAAGCCAAAACCAGGAGUGUGUCCAAAACAAAGGAGGGGUGCAAAUAUUUCCAUUAUACUUUUUGACUCUGUUUGUUCCACUCCCAGUUUUGACUAAAAACCAAAUGCUGACCUAAAUACUGCCAUAUGAAAGUGGCCUAACACACAUAGGGACUACCAAUCUUCAAAUCCAUUUGCCAGGUCAGCUAUCGUAAAUUUGACUGGGUUUGGCUGAAAUUGUAUUUUGAAUAUACCUUAUGGAUUUGUAGCUCCUGCUCAGUGUUUACUUUGGAAGACAUAGCCAGCCACCAUAGCCAGACAACCUUAACCGGAUAACACAUUGCCAAGAGAGGAAGAGCCAAGCGUGUGACCAAAUGCUGCAAAGAUGAAUUCAGAGGCUCCAUCAGUGAAGAGUAAGUAAAGAGUUAGCAAGUAAUUAGGAAGGCGCUCCAAAGAUGCUAGUCUUUGUGAAAAAGCAAGGGUUCCGAUAUAACCAAUUCAGACCAAACUUCCUCAGUGCCAAGUACUCUGAGACAGGCCUCAAGUCCCGAGCCAGUACUGGAGAGACUAAUAACUUAAAGAACUAGGCCCAAGUGUACAACUCUUCCUGGAGAUACCUGUACAAAGUGACCCCAGCCAUACUGAAUAGUGCAGAGCAGCACCACAUAAAUCAUCUAUCAUCCAACGAGUGUGUGAGUCUUUCAAGAAAGCUUGAAGAAAGAUG